AACGAACGCUGGCGGCAGGCUUAACACAUGCAAGUCGAGCGCGGGCCUUCGGGCCUGAGCGGCGGACGGGUGAGUAACGCGUGGGAACGUGGCCUUUCCUCCGGAAUAGCCCUGGGAAACUGGGAGUAAUGCCGGAUACGCCCUCCUUGAGUGGAUCUUGGGGGGGAAAGAUUUAUCGGGGAAGGAUCGGCCCGCGUCGGAUUAGGUAGUUGGUGGGGUAACGGCCUACCAAGCCGACGAUCCGUAGCUGGUUUGAGAGGAUGAUCAGCCACACUGGGACUGAGACACGGCCCAGACUCCUACGGGAGGCAGCAGUGGGGAAUCUUGGACAAUGGGGGCAACCCUGAUCCAGCCAUGCCGCGUGAGCGAUGAAGGCCUUAGGGUUGUAAAGCUCUUUCAGCGGGGAAGAUAAUGACGGUACCCGCAGAAGAAGCCCCGGCUAACUCCGUGCCAGCCGCCGCAGUAACAC
This 469-nucleotide ribosomal RNA is filed under the name uncultured bacterium. Its description in RNAcentral is "bacterial SSU rRNA". It matches the Rfam family "Bacterial small subunit ribosomal RNA", at positions 28 to 526 of the family's 1533-position model. The record is from RNAcentral.